This 253-nucleotide ribosomal RNA is filed under the name Niveispirillum sp. RNAcentral's name for it is "partial 16S ribosomal RNA". It matches the Rfam family "Bacterial small subunit ribosomal RNA", at positions 524 to 776 of the family's 1533-position model. The record is from RNAcentral. Lineage: Bacteria; Pseudomonadati; Pseudomonadota; Alphaproteobacteria; Rhodospirillales; Azospirillaceae.
UACGAAGGGGGCUAGCGUUGUUCGGAAUUACUGGGCGUAAAGGGCGCGUAGGCGGCUUAUCAAGUCAGGCGUGAAAGCCCCGGGCUUAACCUGGGAACUGCGCUUGAGACUGGUAGGCUAGAGUACCGGAGAGGUAGGUGGAAUUCCCAGUGUAGAGGUGAAAUUCGUAGAUAUUGGGAAGAACACCAGUGGCGAAUGCGGCCUACUGGACGGUAACUGACGCUGAGGCGCGAAAGCGUGGGGAGCAAACAGG